RNAcentral lists this ribosomal RNA (253 nucleotides) under uncultured bacterium. Its description in RNAcentral is "partial 16S ribosomal RNA". It matches the Rfam family "Bacterial small subunit ribosomal RNA", at positions 524 to 776 of the family's 1533-position model. The record is from RNAcentral.
UACAGAGGUCUCAAGCGUUGUUCGGAUUCAUUGGGCGUAAAGGGUGCGUAGGUGGCGCUGUAAGUCGGGUGUGAAAUUUCGGAGCUUAACUCCGAAACUGCAUUCGAUACUGCGGUGCUUGAGGACUGGAGAGGAGACUGGAAUUCAUGGUGUAGCAGUGAAAUGCGUAGAUAUGCGGAGGAACACCGAUGGCGAAGGCAAUCCCCUGGGCCUGCACUGACGCUCAUGCACGAAAGCGUGGGGAGCAAACAGG